This 226-nucleotide RNase P RNA is filed under the name Solirubrobacterales bacterium. RNAcentral describes it as "partial RNase P RNA component class A". It matches the Rfam family "Bacterial RNase P class A", at positions 1 to 222 of the family's 367-position model. Rfam says of the family: Ribonuclease P (RNase P) is a ubiquitous endoribonuclease, found in archaea, bacteria and eukarya as well as chloroplasts and mitochondria. Its best characterised activity is the generation of mature 5'-ends of tRNAs by cleaving the 5'-leader elements of precursor-tRNAs. Cellular RNase Ps are ribonucleoproteins. Lineage: Bacteria; Bacillati; Actinomycetota; Thermoleophilia; Solirubrobacterales. The record is from RNAcentral.
CGGGCAGGCCAAGCAGUCGCGGAGGUUCGCCUUCGAGGAAAGUCCGGACAUCAAAGGGCAGGGUGGUCGGGGAAUCCGACCCGGGGAAACCCGCGGGAAAGUGCCACAGAAACACACCGCCGAUGGCGCGGCCACACGUGAGCCGCGCACAGGCAAGGGUGAAAAGGUGCGGUAAGAGCGCACCGGCGUCGUGGCGACACGGCGGCCAGGCAAACCCCACCCGAUG